RNAcentral lists this ribosomal RNA (377 nucleotides) under uncultured bacterium. Its description in RNAcentral is "bacterial SSU rRNA". It matches the Rfam family "Bacterial small subunit ribosomal RNA", at positions 521 to 896 of the family's 1533-position model. The record is from RNAcentral.
UAAUACAGAGGGUGCGAGCGUUGUUCGGAAUUAUUGGGCGUAAAGCGCGUGUAGGCGGUAGCGUAAGUCGGGUGUGAAAUCCCUCAGCUUAACUGAGGAAGUGCGCCCGAAACUACGAAGCUAGAGUGUUGGAGAGGGUGGCGGAAUUCCCGGUGUAGAGGUGAAAUUCGUAGAUAUCGGGAGGAACACCAGAGGCGAAGGCGGCCACCUGGCCAAACACUGACGCUGAGACGCGAAAGCGUGGGUAGCAAACAGGAUUAGAUACCCUGGUAGUCCACGCCGUAAACGAUGAGAACUAGCUGUGUUGGGAGUUGACCCCCGACGUGGCGAAGCUAACGCAUUAAGUUCUCCGCCUGGGGAGUACGGUCGCAAGACUA